This 94-nucleotide microRNA precursor is filed under the name Colobus angolensis palliatus. RNAcentral's name for it is "miRNA (ENSCANG00000002695.1)". The record is from RNAcentral. Lineage: Eukaryota; Metazoa; Chordata; Mammalia; Primates; Cercopithecidae.
UGAGGCAGGAGAAUUGCUUGAACCCAGGAAGUGGAGGUUGCAGUGAGCCGAGAUCACGCCACUGCACUCCAGCCUGGGUGACAGAGCAAGACUC